AGAGUUUGAUCCUGGCUCAGGAUGAACGCUGGCGGCGUGCUUAACACAUGCAAGUCGAACGAGAGAAUUGCUAGCUUGCUAAUAAUUCUCUAGUGGCGCACGGGUGAGUAACACGUGAGUAACCUGCCCCCGAGAGCGGGAUAGCCCUGGGAAACUGGGAUUAAUACCGCAUAGUAUCGAAAGAUUAAAGCAGCAAUGCGCUUGGGGAUGGGCUCGCGGCCUAUUAGUUAGUUGGUGAGGUAACGGCUCACCAAGGCGAUGACGGGUAGCCGGUCUGAGAGGAUGUCCGGCCACACUGGAACUGAGACACGGUCCAGACACCUACGGGUGGCAGCAGUCGAGAAUCAUUCACAAUGGGGGAAACCCUGAUGGUGCGACGCCGCGUGGGGGAAUGAAGGUCUUCGGAUUGUAAACCCCUGUCAUGUGGGAGCAAAUUAAAAAGAUAGUACCACAAGAGGAAGAGACGGCUAACUCUGUGCCAGCAGCCGCGGUAAUACAGAGGUCUCAAGCGUUGUUCGGAAUCACUGGGCGUAAAGCGUGCGUGGGCUGUUUCGUAAGUCGUGUGUGAAAGGCGCGGGCUCAACCCGCGGACGGCACAUGAUACUGCGAGACUAGAGUAAUGGAGGGGGAACCGGAAUUCUCGGUGUAGCAGUGAAAUGCGUAGAUAUCGAGAGGAACACUCGUGGCGAAGGCGGGUUCCUGGACAUUAACUGACGCUGAGGCACGAAGGCCAGGGGAGCGAAAGGGAUUAGAUACCCCUGUAGUCCUGGCAGUAAACGGUGCACGCUUGGUGUGCGGGGAAUCGACCCCCUGCGUGCCGGAGCUAACGCGUUAAGCGUGCCGCCUGGGGAGUACGGUCGCAAGAUUAAAACUCAAAGAAAUUGACGGGGACCCGCACAAGCGGUGGAGUAUGUGGCUUAAUUCGAUGCAACGCGAAGAACCUUACCUGGGCUUGACAUGUAAUGAACAACAUGUGAAAGCAUGCGACUCUUCGGAGGCGUUACACAGGUGCUGCAUGGCCGUCGUCAGCUCGUGUCGUGAGAUGUUUGGUUAAGUCCAGCAACGAGCGCAACCCCUGUUGCCAGUUACCAGCACGUGAAGGGGGGGACUCUGGCGAGACUGCCCAGAUCAACUGGGAGGAAGGUGGGGACGACGUCAGGUCAGUAUGGCCCUUAUGCCCAGGGCUGCACACGCACUACAAUGCCCAGUACAGAGGGGGCCGAAGCCGCGAGGCGGAGGAAAUCCUAAAAACUGGGCCCAGUUCGGACUGUAGGCUGCAACCCGCCUACACGAAGCCGGAAUCGCUAGUAAUGGCGCAUCAGCUACGGCGCCGUGAAUACGUUACCGGGUCUUGCACUCACCGCCCGUCA
This 1370-nucleotide ribosomal RNA is filed under the name uncultured bacterium. RNAcentral's name for it is "16S ribosomal RNA". It matches the Rfam family "Bacterial small subunit ribosomal RNA". The record is from RNAcentral.